GACGAACGCUGGCGGCGUGCUUAACACAUGCAAGUCGAACGGAAAGGCCCUGCUUUUGUGGGGUGCUCGAGUGGCGAACGGGUGAGUAACACGUGAGUAACCUGCCCUUGACUUUGGGGUAACUUCAGGAAACUGGGGCUAAUACCGGAUAGGAGCUCCUGCUGCAUGGUGGGGGUUGGAAAGUUUCGGCGGUUGGGGAUGGACUCGCGGCUUAUCAGCUUGUUGGUGGGGUAGUGGCUUACCAAGGCUUUGACGGGUAGCCGGCCUGAGAGGGUGACCGGCCACAUUGGGACUGAGAUACGGCCCAGACUCCUACGGGAGGCAGCAGUGGGGAAUAUUGCACAAUGGGCGGAAGCCUGAUGCAGCAACGCCGCGUGCGGGAUGACGGCCUUCGGGUUGUAAACCGCUUUCGCCUGUGACGAAGCGUGAGUGACGGUAAUGGGUAAAGAAGCACCGGCUAACUACGUG
RNAcentral lists this ribosomal RNA (468 nucleotides) under uncultured bacterium. RNAcentral's name for it is "partial 16S ribosomal RNA". It matches the Rfam family "Bacterial small subunit ribosomal RNA", at positions 28 to 507 of the family's 1533-position model. The record is from RNAcentral.